GGCUGCCCAGCAACCUGCCGGCUUGACCCCAUCCCCUCCUUCCUUCCCCAGACCAACUCUGGAGACCUUCUCCCAUUCCUGACUUCCCUCAUCCUUGACCCUAACCAGUCAGGCUUCAAGAUGGGUCACUCAACCGAGACUGCUCUUUUGUGUCACGGUGGCUCGCCGCACUGCCAAAGCUGACUCUCUCCUCUGUUCUCAUCCUCCUAGAUCUAUCCACUACUUUCAACACCAUGAACCAUAAGAUCCUCCUCUCCACCCUGUCAGGGCUGGGCGUCUCAGUUAUCUUAACUUGGAUCUCGGCCCACCACCUCAAGCUCAAUCGCGACAAGAUGGAACUGCUUUUCCUCCCGGGGCAGGCCUGCCCGCUCAAAGACCUCUCCAUCACCGUUGACAACUCGUGUCGCCCUCCCAGUGCAAAGAACCUAGGUGUGACCCUGGACAACACCCUGUCAUUCUCUGCAAACAUCAAAGCAGUGACACGCUCCUGCAGGUUCAUGCUCUACAACAUCCGAGUACAACCCUACCUCACAUAGGAAGAGGCGCAUGUCCUAAUCCAGACACUUGUACUCUCCCGUCUGGACUACUGCAACUUGCUGUUGGCUGGGCUCCCUGAUUAUGCCCUCAAACCCCUGAAAUUUAUCAAGAACUCUGCAGCCUGCCUAGUUUUCAACCUUACUAAGUUCUCAUGUCACCCCGCUCUUCCGCACACUCCACUGGCUUCCAGUCGAAGCUCGCAUCCACUACAACACCAUGGCACUUAUCUACAGAACAGAUGGAACUGUACUUCCCUACCUCCAAACUAUGCUCAAACCCUUCACCCCAACCCGAGCACUCCGUUAUGCCCAGUCCAAGCUCUUCUCUGUCCUGACACCCCAAUGGUAAAAUGACUCAAGUAAAAUUCACCCAGUAAAAUACUACUUGAGUAAAAGUAUUUGGUUUUAAAUAUACUUAUCAAAAGUAAAUGUAAUUGCUAAAAUAUACUUAAGUAUCAAAAGUAAAAUAAUCAUUUCAAAUCCCUUAUAUUAAACAAACCAGAUGGCACCAUUUUAUUUUUUAAUUUUUAAUUUAUGAAUAGCCAGGGGAACACUCAGACAUCAUUUACAACUCUUUGGCCUGAAUGCCAAGCAUCACAUCUGGAAGAAACCUGGCACCAUCCCUACAGGGAAGCAUGGUGGUGGCAGCAUCAUGAUGUGAGGACAAUGACACUAAGCAUACAAGUCUCAAGCAUACAAGGGACAAGUCUCUGAAUGUCCUUGAGUGGCCCAACUUUUUCAAA
Molecule: long non-coding RNA, 1279 nt
Organism: Oncorhynchus tshawytscha (Chinook salmon)
Lineage: Eukaryota; Metazoa; Chordata; Actinopteri; Salmoniformes; Salmonidae
Source: Ensembl